CCCAAGGCUGCUAGGCGACCGCUCGGUGCCGCCUCUAUGAAUAUGGGGGUGGUGCUGGUGGACGUCAUUCCGGCUAGAGAAAGUGCGCUAGUCGCUCAAAACAACUUGUUCCAGUCUUCCCUGUCCUCCACCGCAGCUCCCCCGCCUGCUGCCUGCAUCAUGUCAACUAGACCUGAAUAAAGACCUGCUUGAUACUUAAAUGUAGAGGAUCAUGGUGUUUUUUUACUUUUUAAUAAAAUGAUCAAUGAGGGCUGUAGUUAUUGGAAUAUAAGAAAGGCAAAGAAUCCAGCACUGCUGUGAUUACGGCACAAUCAAAAACACAGCAUGAGGAGACCAUAAUAUUGCAGAAUGACACAGCCUGAAGUUGGUGGCAACAAGAGGAGACCAAAUAGUGGCAGAAUGACACAGCCUGGAAUUGGUGGCAGCAGGAGGAGACCCUAUAGUGGCAGAAUGACCCAGCCUGGUGAUAGCAACAGCCUGAUGAAACCAUAGUGCCUCACAAUUGACAAGAUUAAAGAUAUAUAUAUUUUUUUAAUUUAAAUUGAAGAUUUCAAAUAGAUGGACCUAAAAAGUUUCAUUUAA
Hyla sarda is the source of this 582-nucleotide long non-coding RNA. RefSeq lists it as uncharacterized. The record is from RefSeq and is a predicted model, not a curated record. The transcript is spliced from 3 exons. Lineage: Eukaryota; Metazoa; Chordata; Amphibia; Anura; Hylidae.